This 482-nucleotide ribosomal RNA is filed under the name uncultured bacterium. RNAcentral's name for it is "partial 16S ribosomal RNA". It matches the Rfam family "Bacterial small subunit ribosomal RNA", at positions 30 to 507 of the family's 1533-position model. The record is from RNAcentral.
AUUGAACGCUGGCCGCAUGCCUUACACAUGCGAGUCGAACGGUAACGGGCCUUCGGGUGCCGACGAGUGGCGCACGGGUGCGUAAUACAUCGGAACGUGCCCGAUCGUGGGGGAUAACGAGGCGAAAGCUUUGCUAAUACCGCAUACGAUCUACGGAUGAAAGCAGGGGACCGCAAGGCCUUGCGCGGACGGAGCGGCCGAUGGCAGAUUAGGUAGUUGGUGGGAUAAAAGCUUACCAAGCCGACGAUCUGUAGCUGGUCUGAGAGGAUGAUCAGCCACACUGGGACUGAGACACGGCCCAGACUCCUACGGGAGGCAGCAGUGGGGAAUUUUGGACAAUGGGCGCAAGCCUGAUCCAGCCAUGCCGCGUGCAGGAUGAAGGCCUUCGGGUUGUAAACUGCUUUUGUACGGAACGAAAAGCCUUCUUUUAAUACAGGAGGGUCAUGACGGUACCGUAAGAAUAAGCACCGGCUAACUACGUG